ACAAAUUAUAGGAAAAAUGGGUAAAAAACCAUCACCAAAUAUUGUGUAAAUAUUUUA
This 57-nucleotide small RNA is filed under the name Arabidopsis thaliana (thale cress). RNAcentral describes it as "ATSL260540". The record is from RNAcentral. Lineage: Eukaryota; Viridiplantae; Streptophyta; Magnoliopsida; Brassicales; Brassicaceae.